AGAGUUUGAUCCUGGCUCAGGAUGAACGCUAGCUACAGGCUUAACACAUGCAAGUCGAGGGGCAGCAUUUUAGUUUGCUUGCAAACUAAAGAUGGCGACCGGCGCACGGGUGAGUAACACGUAUCCAACCUGCCGAUAACUCGGGGAUAGCCUUUCGAAAGAAAGAUUAAUAUCCGAUAGUAUAUUAAAACCGCAUGGUUUUACUAUUAAAGAAUUUCGGUUAUCGAUGGGGAUGCGUUCCAUUAGUUUGUUGGCGGGGUAACGGCCCACCAAGACUACGAUGGAUAGGGGUUCUGAGAGGAAGGUCCCCCACAUUGGAACUGAGACACGGUCCAAACUCCUACGGGAGGCAGCAGUGAGGAAUAUUGGUCAAUGGACGAGAGUCUGAACCAGCCAAGUAGCGUGAAGGAUGACUGCCCUAUGGGUUGUAAACUUCUUUUAUAUGGGAAUAAAGUAUUCCACGUGUGGGAUUUUGUAUGUACCAUAUGAAUAAGGAUCGGCUAACUCCGUGCCAGCAGCCGCGGUAAUACGGAGGAUCCGAGCGUUAUCCGGAUUUAUUGGGUUUAAAGGGAGCGUAGGUGGAUUGUUAAGUCAGUUGUGAAAGUUUGCGGCUCAACCGUAAAAUUGCAGUUGAAACUGGCAGUCUUGAGUACAGUAGAGGUGGGCGGAAUUCGUGGUGUAGCGGUGAAAUGCUUAGAUAUCACGAAGAACUCCGAUUGCGAAGGCAGCUCACUAGACUGCAACUGACACUGAUGCUCGAAAGUGUGGGUAUCAAACAGGAUUAGAUACCCUGGUAGUCCACACAGUAAACGAUGAAUACUCGCUGUUUGCGAUAUACAGUAAGCGGCCAAGCGAAAGCAUUAAGUAUUCCACCUGGGGAGUACGCCGGCAACGGUGAAACUCAAAGGAAUUGACGGGGGCCCGCACAAGCGGAGGAACAUGUGGUUUAAUUCGAUGAUACGCGAGGAACCUUACCCGGGCUUAAAUUGCAUUUGAAUAAUCUGGAAACAGGUUAGCCGCAAGGCAAAUGUGAAGGUGCUGCAUGGUUGUCGUCAGCUCGUGCCGUGAGGUGUCGGCUUAAGUGCCAUAACGAGCGCAACCCUUAUCUUUAGUUACUAACAGGUCAUGCUGAGGACUCUAGAGAGACUGCCGUCGUAAGAUGUGAGGAAGGUGGGGAUGACGUCAAAUCAGCACGGCCCUUACGUCCGGGGCUACACACGUGUUACAAUGGGGGGUACAGAAGGCAGCUACCUGGCGACAGGAUGCUAAUCCCAAAAACCUCUCUCAGUUCGGAUCGAAGUCUGCAACCCGACUUCGUGAAGCUGGAUUCGCUAGUAAUCGCGCAUCAGCCAUGGCGCGGUGAAUACGUUCCCGGGCCUUGUACACACCGCCCGUCAAGCCAUGAAAGCCGGGGGUACCUGAAGUACGUAACCGCAAGGAGCGUCCUAGGGUAAAACUGGUAAUUGGGGCUAAGUCGUAACAAGGUA
RNAcentral lists this ribosomal RNA (1487 nucleotides) under metagenome. Its description in RNAcentral is "bacterial SSU rRNA". It matches the Rfam family "Bacterial small subunit ribosomal RNA". The record is from RNAcentral.